This 515-nucleotide ribosomal RNA is filed under the name uncultured bacterium. RNAcentral describes it as "partial 16S ribosomal RNA". It matches the Rfam family "Bacterial small subunit ribosomal RNA", at positions 28 to 523 of the family's 1533-position model. The record is from RNAcentral.
GAUGAACGCUGGCGGCGUGCCUAAUACAUGCAAGUCGAGCGAAUGGAUUAAGAGCUUGCUCUUAUGAAGUUAGCGGCGGACGGGUGAGUAACACGUGGGUAACCUGCCCAUAAGACUAGGUUAACUCCGGGAAACCGGGGCUAAUACCGGAUAACAUUUUGAACCGCAUGGUUCGAAAUUGAAAGGCGGCUUCGGCUGUCACUUAUGCAUGGACCCGCGUCGCAUUAGCUAGUUGGUGAGGUAACGGCUCACCAAGGCAACGAUGCGUAGCCGACCUGAGAGGGUGAUCGGCCACACUGGGACUGAGACACGGCCCAGACUCCUACGGGAGGCAGCAGUAGGGAAUCUUCCGCAAUGGACGAAAGUCUGACGGAGCAACGCCGCGUGAGUGAUGAAGGCUUUCGGGUCGUAAAACUCUGUUGUUAGGGAAGAACAAGUGCUAGUUGAAUAAGCUGGCACCUUGACGGUACCUAACCAGAAAGCCACGGCUAACUACGUGCCAGCAGCCGCGGUAA